GGUAGGGUAGCCGAAAGUUAGGCGGUGGGUUGUAGCCCCAAAGAUGGGGGUUCAAUUCCUCCCUUUCUCA
Molecule: transfer RNA, 70 nt
Filed under: Paedocypris sp. ZF-12274
Lineage: Eukaryota; Metazoa; Chordata; Actinopteri; Cypriniformes
Description: tRNA-Tyr
Rfam family: tRNA
About the family: Transfer RNA (tRNA) molecules are approximately 80 nucleotides in length.
Source: RNAcentral